CGAACGAGUUCUUGUUGAUGAUCGGUGCUUGCACCAAGAUUCAACAUGCCACUAGAGGCGGACGGGUGAGUAACACGUGGGUAACCUGCCCCCUUUUGGGGGAUAACAUUUGGAAACAGAUGCUAAUACCGCAUAGAUCCAAGAACCGCAUGGUUCUUGGCUGAAAGAUGGCGUAAGCUAUCGCUUUUGGAUGGACCCGCGGCGUAUUAGCUAGUUGGUGAGGUAAUGGCUCACCAAGGCGAUGAUACGUAGCCGAACUGAGAGGUUGAUCGGCCACAUUGGGACUGAGACACGGCCCAAACUCCUACGGGAGGCAGCAGUAGGGAAUCUUCCACAAUGGACGCAAGUCUGAUGGAGCAACGCCGCGUGAGUGAAGAAGGCUUUCGGGUCGUAAAACUCUGUUGUUGGAGAAGAAUGGUCGGCAGAGUAACUGUUGUCGGCGUGACGGUAUCCAACCAGAAAGCCACGGCUAACUACGUGCCAGCAGCCGCGGUAAUACGUAGGUGGCAAGCGUUAUCCGGAUUUAUUGGGCGUAAAGCGAGCGCAGGCGGUUUUUUAAGUCUGAUGUGAAAGCCCUCGGCUUAACCGAGGAAGCGCAUCGGAAACUGGGAAACUUGAGUGCAGAAGAGGACAGUGGAACUCCAUGUGUAGCGGUGAAAUGCGUAGAUAUAUGGAAGAACACCAGUGGCGAAGGCGGCUGUCUGGUCUGUAACUGACGCUGAGGCUCGAAAGCAUGGGUAGCGAACAGGAUUAGAUACCCUGGUAGUCCAUGCCGUAAACGAUGAAUGCUAGGUGUUGGAGGGUUUC
This 807-nucleotide ribosomal RNA is filed under the name uncultured bacterium. Its description in RNAcentral is "bacterial SSU rRNA". It matches the Rfam family "Bacterial small subunit ribosomal RNA", at positions 63 to 834 of the family's 1533-position model. The record is from RNAcentral.